Molecule: long non-coding RNA, 305 nt
Filed under: Bos taurus (domestic cattle)
Lineage: Eukaryota; Metazoa; Chordata; Mammalia; Artiodactyla; Bovidae
Description: long non-coding RNA NONBTAT027088
Source: RNAcentral
UGUCUCCUGUCAGUAGCAUGGGUAGAUUUCUCUCUUCCUGCUCAGUUCAGGACUGCAGUGCCCACAAGAACCUGAGCAGAGUGGCAGGUGGUGUUGGGUGAGUGGAGCGACAGGUACAAGUCACAUAUAUGCAGAAGAAUUUGCCUUGCACUCAACCAUGGGUACUCCAGAGAAGACAGGGAAAGGGCAUAUGGAGAAGGGUGAGAGAGAAGAGGCGACAGAGGCCAUGAGCAAUCACACUCUUCACUUAAAUAUUGAUUCCAGACUACUUUUCAUUCAAUGAGUGUGGCCUUCCAGGAUGGACA